CUAAGUGGGGUGUUAGAUAUUGGGGUGGGUGCUGCCUUCUUAGCAUGAGAGACUAGAGGAGAACUGUCUCCUCUUGGGCUGAGCAUUCUAGGUUUUCGGGUGAGAGGAAAAAUAAGAGAGAAAGGACUCUCCCUUGCCUUCUUCCACCAAUCCUAUGUCCUCCUAUAGUCCUCCUCCUAAAAGGGUCUGAGAGGUCUCAAAAAAGGAAUCAGAUCAGCUGUCAAGA
Molecule: long non-coding RNA, 226 nt
Filed under: Elaeis guineensis (African oil palm)
Lineage: Eukaryota; Viridiplantae; Streptophyta; Magnoliopsida; Arecales; Arecaceae
Description: long non-coding RNA (EGUI_LNC067545)
Source: RNAcentral